Molecule: unclassified non-coding RNA, 319 nt
Filed under: Hevea brasiliensis (rubber tree)
Lineage: Eukaryota; Viridiplantae; Streptophyta; Magnoliopsida; Malpighiales; Euphorbiaceae
Source: RNAcentral
AAAGGUUGAGAAUCUAGGAGAAGAUGGAACCUCAGAUGAAAAAGAUAAAUCUUUCAAAAAGAGAUGGUUCAAUAUUCCCCGAGGAUCUGACAAAAAGCUCGGUUGAAAGAAUCACGCGCUAAGGUUUAUUUUCUCUUUUCCCAAACAGCAACAAAUAGAAACUUCCAACCAUUUUUGUCUUGUAGAAUUCAAUGGUCAAAAUGAUUGCAUCCAUGCUUGUAAUACUUGGGUCUCUGUUUUGGUGUAUGCUUUCAGGGGCUCAACAAAAUUUGCCAUUCUUUCUCCCAUCAGAGUUGAGGUAAGCUAUUGAUUAGGCAUU